AAUUAUAGCGGUAGAUCUUCCUUUAAUCUUUCAUUCUUCGCGUCAAAAUACUUCCGCUCUCAAGACACCCCCGAAAAUCAUGGCACCAGAGUAAAUUAACAUGAAAAUCCAGUCUUUGAAGGUAAUCAACAGAAAAAAAUGCAGCAAAAAAAAUGCAACAAGUGAAAACAUUGAGAACAAUACAGCAAGUCGUGGAACUUCAUUCUGAACAAUUCUCGCCAGGUUCUUCUUUCUCCAUUAACUUGGUUCCUUAGAAGUUAGAUACUUUUUUGUGUAUUUCUUGUUGUGGCAAUUGUCGAGUAAAAAGUUGUACACCAUGUGUUUGUGGAAUUUACCAACUGAACUUUUUGGUGUGGGAAGAAUGGACUUCGAUAUUGGAAUUUUUUAUCUGAAUCUUUUGGUGUGGAAUUUCAAAAUUUCACUAUUCUGUUCUUUGGUCUACUAGAUUUUGACUUGAAAGAGAGUAAAUUUAAAAGUUUAUCAUUUUAACUUAUAUAUAAAAUCAGAUUUGAUUAUCUUAUGAGUCAAGGUUAAUCGAUCGUCAAACUAGUAUAUUAUUAUGCACUAUUCUCUAAGCUUGCUGAAUUGUAUCAAUCAAAUAAAAAAUUGGGGAUUUGCAAGGACUAUGUUUCAUAAUUACUUUAUAAAUCAAGUGUUAAGCAAAAUCUACUACGAAGUAAGUGCUGACUUAUGACAUGUGUUUUACUUUCUCCCGUUUAAUAGUAGAUUUAUGGAGAUCCCAUCUCAAAAUAAAUAUAUGGAUGUUUCUCAUUUAUUUGAGUCAAUAAAAAUUGGGAUAGAAUUUGAUUCAGAAGAGUAUGCAUAUGAAUAUUACAACAAACAUAUUGCUACAAUUGGGUUUAGUGUUAGAAAGGAAUAUGCAAACAAAAGUAAAGUCCAUGGAUAUGUGACUUCGAGAAAAUUUACAUGUUAUAAAGAAGGUUAUAGAGGAAGAGACAAGCGAGAUGCGAUGGUCAAGAAACCUAUAAAGGAAACUAGGACAGGUUGUUUAGCUCACAUGGUCGUAAGUUGUCAAUCAAAUAAAAAGUUUUCUGUCAUUUUAUUUGAAGAGAAGCACAAUCAUCCUCUCAUUCCUCCAUUUCUAGCUCACAUGUUGCCCUCGCAAAGAAAUAUUAAAAAUUUUUAAGCAUAUGAAAUUGAUUUAUUGGAUGAUUCAGGAAUAUGUCCUAAAUCAUCUUUUGACUAUACUUCUCGUUUAGCUGGGGGAAAAGCUUCUUUAGGUUAUACAAAGAGAGAUCACUUAAACUAUCUUCGUGACAAAAGAAAAGAAAGUCUAAAACAAGGAGUGGAUCGUAGUUUGGUAGAUUAUUUUGAAAAAAGAAUAAUAAAAGAUCCAUCUUUUCGGUUUUCUUUACAAUUGGAUGAUGAUGGUUUGAUAACAAAUAUUUUCUGGGCUGAUGCUAAAAUGAUAAGAGAUUUUCAAAUUUAUGGAGAUGUUGUAUCAUUUGACACAACAUAUAGAACAAAUAAGGAGUAUCGGCCAUUGGCUUUGUUUGUUGGGUUAAAUAAUCACAGGAAAAUCGUUGUAUUUGGUGCUGCCCUAUUAUAUGAAGAAACAACUGAAGCGUUCGAAUGGCUUUUUACUAUAUUUUUUAGAGCUAUGUCCGCACAUAAGCCAAAAACAUUCAUCACAUAUCACGAUCCCGCAAUAUAUUUAGCAGUCUCAUUAGUGAUGCCAUAAACAUAUCAUCGUCUAUGUAUAUGGCACUUGGAAUAAAAUGCAUUUAAAAAUCUUAACCAUAUCUUUAGAGCUCAUAAAUCAUUUCCGAGUGAUUUUAGCAAAUUGCUUUAUUAUUACGAGUACGAAGAUUUUCUAAAUGCAUGGGAGGAAAUGCUUAAGAAGUACGACCUUAAGGAUAAUAGUUGGUUGAAAAACACCUUUUAUAUAAGGAAAAAGUGGUCCAUGACAUAUGAUAGAAAUGUAUUUUCGGCAGGUAUGCGAAGUACACAAUUGAGUAAAAGUUUUAAUGGAUCACUAAGGAGCUACUUCAAAUCCGAUUUAGAUAUUGUACAGUUCUUUAAGCAUUUUCAAAAAGCUGUUGAUGAUAAGUGUACUAAUGAAAGCAAGUUGAAUUUUGACAUGACCCAACGAAUAUCUGUCUUGAAGGUUAAGCUUCCUUUAUUGAUAUAAGCAAGAGAAAUAUAUACUGCAACCAUAUUUGAUUUGUUCGAAAAGAAGUGGGAAAAGUCAUUACUUGUCUCUAUAAAUGACUUUCAUGAUGAAGGAGAAUUUCUUAAAUACAUUGUUAGCAUGCAUGGAAGUUGCAUGGAGCAUGUAGUACUAGUGAAGUGCUCAACAGAGAUAAUCUCUUGCAGUUGCAAAUUGUUCGAAUUUUCAGGUGUACUAUGUGGACAUGCUCUAAAGAUUCUGGACACGUUAAAUGUCAAGGAUAAGAUUCCUGACCAUUACAUAAACGGAAAAGGUCCAGAAUUGCCCCUUUACUAUGGUAUAUUGUUUACUUCUUUCACCCGUUAUACUUUUUGUCCAAAUUUAUCCCUACCGUUAAUAAAGUUUGCAUAAUUGCCCCUAACCCUAACGGAUCUACACGUGGCAGCUGACCCCUUCAAUUUUCUCCAUGCCAGCUGCCAAGUCAGAGUCCAUGUCACUAUUUAAAAAUAUAUUUUAUUUAUUACACUUAUUUACUAAAUCAGCAAAUUAAAAAAAAUCCCCAAAAAGUUUGAUUCUUCUUCUUCCCCGAUGUUUCUUCAUCUUUGCUUCAAAUAUUUCGAUCCAAACAAAAUUUUUAACCAAACAGACUCAGAUCAUCCAUAACUUCUCCACAUGAAUAUUCUCAACAAACUCCAAAAAUACUUAGCUCAAACUUCAGCAAAUCAGAAUACCCAUCUUAUGUUUUUGAGCUCUCUUACAGCUCCUUCAAUGGUGAUUUCAGCAGGUCCCACACACUGCCAGUUUUGGACUCCAUAUAACUAUUAAGACGAUCCAAUUAGUUUGAAAUUAAUACAUUAAACUAUUAAAAUCGAACUUCCCCACCACUACUUUCCAGAUCUAAAUCUCAAAUCUCUUUCCAAUCAAAAUCCAGAAUCUUCUUCUAUGGCGGGAACUCUGUACGGAUUGGUGUUCUUAGCAGCGCCAAGAACUUGCUUCAUCUUCCUCUACCUCCUUCUUCAACCUAUCUUCAACUUCACCGCCUAAUACGGCGGCGCCGCUAUGAACCGACCCCGAUUUGGACCGGUCGCAGAUGAGUCGACGAACCGGAAAUAUUUUUUACCUCCAUCGCCGCCUUCUGCUUCCAAAUCCUUACACGACGGCAACACGUAAUUCCGGCGGGUCGGUUCGUAGAGUAAUACAAAUAUGUUGAAUGUAUAGCGUUUAUAUUUGAAAAAAAAACAGAGAUAUUGCUUUUUAUUUUAGAUUCUGCUUUUUAUUUUGAUGGAUCUGGAUUUGAGUUGUGUGAUCUCGUUUGUUUAAGUUGACCUGCUUGAAAAUAGCUUAGUUAUAUUGCAGAUUACUUUUGACCCUUAAUUCAAAUGCAGAAUAUUAGAGGGGUUGGGUGACCUGCUGACUUGGCAGCUGACAUGGAGAAAAUUAAGGGGGUCAGGUGCCACGUGUAGAUCUGUUAGGGUUAGGGACAAUUAUGCAAACUUUGUUAAAGGUAAAGAUAUAUUUGGACGAAAAGUAUAACGGGUGACAGAAGUAAACAAUAUACCAUAGUAGAGGGCAAUUUUGGACCUUUUUUCUUAUAUAUAUAUAUAUAUAUAUAUUAAAAAGGUGGACAAAAGAUGUUACCAACUUGGUUGCAAUGGAGAUUAAAGUGUUUAUUGAGGGAAGUGAUCCAAAAGUUGAAGUUAGUACAAGGUAUAGACAUUUAUGCCAAACUCUUGUCCAAAUUGCAAGUGAAGCUUCAGAAUCCAAAGAAGGAUAUGAGUUGGUUGCACAGUAUUCCAACGAGAUAAUUGCAAAGUUGAAGGAAGUAAAAAUAAAAAUGUAUCUCAUGAAAGUCCAUCAGUUCCAAGCGAGGUUCUCCAUGAUAAGACAAUAUUUGUUGAUAGUGCAAAUGUCACAAAGGUAGUUAGGUUAAAGAAGAAUCAACCAACUCGUCGCUCCAAUACUCGACCAAAGAGUUUUGUGGAAAAGACCAAGAAGAAUAAGAUUCAAUCACCAGUUUCUCCUCCAUUGCGAACUGUCCAGCAUGUAAGUCACCUUGCAGGCCUCCAAGCACCAUACACUUUCAAGUCAAAAUCUAAUAGACCAAAGAACAGAAUAGUGAAAUUUUGAAAUUCCACACCAAAAGAUUCAGUUAAAAAAUUCUAAUAUCAAAGUCCAUUCUUCCCACACCAAAAAGUUUAGUUGGUAAACUCCACAAACACAUGAUGUACAACUUUUUACUCGACAAUUGCUACAACAAGAAAUGAACAAAAAAAUAUCUAACUUCUAAGGAAUCAAGUUAAUGGAGAAAGAAGAACCUGGCGAGAAUUGUUCAGAAUGAAGUUCCACUACUUGCUGUAUUGUUCUCAAUGUUUUCACUUGAUGCAUUUUUUUGCUGCAUUUUUUUCUGUUGAUUACCUUCAAAGACUGAAUUUUCAUGGUAAUUUUCUCUGGUGCCAUGAUUUUCGGGGGUGUCUUGAGAGCAGAUGUAUUUUGGCGCGGAGAGGGAAAGAUUAUAGGAAGAUCUACCGCUAUAAUUGUAGGAUUGUAAAAGAUAUUUGGGAAUAAAUAAAAGAAGCAAUUAAAAACUUUAACUAUGGUUAGGAAUUUAUUUUAUUCAAUUAAAUUUUAUUCAUUGAUUAUUAACCAUGAUAAGUGUCUCCCAUCCAAGUAGGAACUCGGAGAAAUGGAGAGACUAGAAAAUUGAGGGGAGUUGGAUCUUUGAUAUAUGAUAUGACUUUUUCUUUCCUUUUUGUUCAUCUUGCAGGCUAAAAUAUUUUGGUACGACCCACUGUCAUGUUCCCUGUUGCUGACCAAGGCAAUUAUUAUAAGUACUAUAUGUAAUUCUUAAUGUAAGCUAAAAUCUUGUAGCGAUUCAACAUCAAUUGCGAUAAACAAAUAAAAAUACAAUUAGCACGUUAUCCCCUUCUUGCAU
Molecule: long non-coding RNA, 5063 nt
Filed under: Nicotiana tabacum (common tobacco)
Lineage: Eukaryota; Viridiplantae; Streptophyta; Magnoliopsida; Solanales; Solanaceae
Description: long non-coding RNA (NTAB_LNC002490)
Source: RNAcentral